UCAGGCGGCGGGUAGUGGGCACCGAUGGGGGUACCGGUCGUCUCUCCGGCAGCCCCUCCAUAGGCUGGGUCCUUCAGGAACCAGGACCGGCGGGUCCCAAGUGGGCAUCUCCCCAGCAGCCCUGCGGGUGCACCUGGUCGAGUCACUCCUACCCCAGGUAGCAAGGACUCAUUACCAAGGCCGGUGCAGGGCACAUCCCGCAGGAGCUCUAUGGGAGGCGUAAAUGCCCGUCUCUGUGGCUCCGCCUGGGAGCACAUACUCUAGAGAAGCAGUCGGAGACACCUUCUGCAUUCCAUACAGGUGCCUCACGCGGUUGGCCCACGUGAGCAAAUGGAGAAACUGAGUCACGGGGCUGGCAAGUGGUUCUGCAGAAGCUGCGAGGCUGAGUCAUGCCUGGUACCGGGAGUUUGCGGGCCUCACGUGAGGGCUACGCCCAGGGCUAGAUGUGGAACCCCUUGAGCCCAGAGCAGGUAAUGGUUUUCUGGUGGCUAAGAGGCAGAGAGUAUAUCGGAAUUACCUGGGGAACAUCUUCAAGAUCAGACUUCCUCCCAACGGAACAAAGGCAAAGCCGGUUGGUGAGGUCAUCAGUAAGGAACUCUUGCUCCGGAGGCCCGAGGCUCUGCACAGACUUGCCUGG
Molecule: long non-coding RNA, 637 nt
Organism: Suricata suricatta (meerkat)
Lineage: Eukaryota; Metazoa; Chordata; Mammalia; Carnivora; Herpestidae
Exons: 3
Source: RefSeq, a predicted model, not a curated record